GAGCCGUAGGGAAACCGAGUCUUAACCGGGCGUUAAGUUGCAGGGUAUAGACCCGAAACCCGGUGAUCUAGCCAUGGGCAGGUUGAAGGUUGGGUAACACUAACUGGAGGACCGAACCGACUAAUGUUGAAAAAUUAGCGGAUGACCUGUGGCUGGGGGUGAAAGGCCAAUCAAACCGGGAGAUAGCUGGUUCUCCCCGAAAGCUAUUUAGGUAGCGCCUCGUGAAUUCAUCUCCGGGGGUAGAGCACUGUUUCGGCUAGGGGGCCAUCCCGGCUUACCAACCCGAUGCAAACUGCGAAUACCGGAGAAUGUUAUCACGGGAGACACACGGCGGGUGCUAACGUCCGUCGUGAAGAGGGAAACAACCCAGACCGCCAGCUAAGGUCCCAAAGUCAUGGUUAAGUGGGAAACGAUGUGGGAAGGCCCAGACAGCCAGGAUGUUGGCUUAGAAGCAGCCAUCAUUUAAAGAAAGCGUAAUAGCUCACUGGUCGAGUCGGCCUGCGCGGAAGAUGUAACGGGGCUAAACCAU
This 529-nucleotide ribosomal RNA is filed under the name Salmonella enterica subsp. enterica serovar Thompson. Its description in RNAcentral is "partial 23S ribosomal RNA". It matches the Rfam family "Bacterial large subunit ribosomal RNA", at positions 663 to 1190 of the family's 2925-position model. RNAcentral also lists the same sequence under 2 other names. Lineage: Bacteria; Pseudomonadati; Pseudomonadota; Gammaproteobacteria; Enterobacterales; Enterobacteriaceae. The record is from RNAcentral.